GAACGGGUGAGUAACAUGUGGGUGAUCUGCCCUGCACUUUGGGAUAAGCCUGGGAAACUGGGUCUAAUACCGAAUAUGACCAUGCGCCUCCUGGUGUGUGGUGGAAAGCUUUUGCGGUGUGGGAUGGGCCCGCGGCCUAUCAGCUUGUUGGUGGGGUAAUGGCCUACCAAGGCGACGACGGGUAGCCGGCCUGAGAGGGUGACCGGCCACACUGGGACUGAGAUACGGCCCAGACUCCUACGGGAGGCAGCAGUGGGGAAUAUUGCACAAUGGGCGCAAGCCUGAUGCAGCGACGCCGCGUGAGGGAUGACGGCCUUCGGGUUGUAAACCUCUUUCAGCACAGACGAAGCGCAAGUGACGGUAUGUGCAGAAGAAGGACCGGCCAACUACGUGCCAGCAGCCGCGGUAAUACGUAGGGUCCGAGCGUUGUCCGGAAUUACUGGGCGUAAAGAGCUCGUAGGUGGUUUGUCGCGUUGUUCGUGAAAACUCACAGCUUAACUGUGGGCGUGCGGGCGAUACGGGCAGACUUGAGUACUGCAGGGGAGACUGGAAUUCCUGGUGUAGCGGUGGAAUGCGCAGAUAUCAGGAGGAACACCGGUGGCGAAGGCGGGUCUCUGGGCAGUAACUGACGCUGAGGAGCGAAAGCGUGGGGAGCGAACAGGAUUAGAUACCCUGGUAGUCCACGCCGUANACGGUGGGUACUAGGUGUGGGUUUCCUUCCUUGGGAUCCGUGCCGUAGCUAACGCAUUAAGUACNNNGCCUGGGGA
Molecule: ribosomal RNA, 767 nt
Filed under: uncultured bacterium
Lineage: Bacteria
Description: bacterial SSU rRNA
Rfam family: Bacterial small subunit ribosomal RNA
Source: RNAcentral